RNAcentral lists this ribosomal RNA (389 nucleotides) under uncultured bacterium. RNAcentral's name for it is "bacterial SSU rRNA". It matches the Rfam family "Bacterial small subunit ribosomal RNA", at positions 30 to 420 of the family's 1533-position model. The record is from RNAcentral.
AUUGAACGCUGGCGGCAUGCUUUACACAUGCAAGUCGAACGGCAGCGCGGGGGCAACCCUGGCGGCGAGUGGCGAACGGGUGAGUAAUGUAUCGGAACGUAUCCUGUAAUGGGGGAUAACCAGUCGAAAGAUUGGGUAAUACCGCAUACGCACGAGAGUGGAAAGUAGGGGAUCGCAAGACCUUACGUUAUAGGAGCGGCCGAUAUCUGAUUAGCUAGUUGGUGGGUAAAGGCCUACCAAGGCGACGAUCAGUAGCUGGUCUGAGAGGAUGAUCAGCCACACUGGGACUGAGACACGGCCCAGACUCCUACGGGAGGCAGCAGUGGGGAAUUUUGGACAAUGGGCGAAAGCCUGAUCCAGCCAUGCCGCGUGCGGGAAGAAGGCCUCGG